Molecule: ribosomal RNA, 509 nt
Filed under: uncultured bacterium
Lineage: Bacteria
Description: bacterial SSU rRNA
Rfam family: Bacterial small subunit ribosomal RNA
Source: RNAcentral
AGAGUUUGAUUAUGGCUCAGGAUGAACGCUGGCGGCGUGCUUAACACAUGCAAGUCGAACGGAGUUUUUAACGGAAGUUUCGGAUGGAAGUUUAAGAACUUAGUGGCGGACGGGUGAGUAACGCGUGGGUAACCUGCCUCAUACAGGGGGAUAACAGUUAGAAAUGACUGCUAACACCGCAUAAUAUAGUGAAACCGCAUGAUUUUGCUAUCAAAUAUUUAUAGGUAUGAGAUGGGCCCGCGUCUGAUUAGCUAGUUGGUGGGGUAAAAGCCUACCAAGGCGACGAUCAGUAGCCGGCUUGAGAGAGUGACCGGCCACAUUGGGACUGAGACACGGCCCAAACUCCUACGGGAGGCAGCAGUGGGGAAUAUUGGACAAUGGGGGAAACCCUGAUCCAGCGAACCGCCGCGUGAGUGAAGAAGUAUUUCGGUAUGUAAAGCUCUAUCAGCAGGGAAGAUAAUGACAGUACCUGACUAAGAAGCCCCGGCUAACUACGUGCCAGCCGCUGC